GACGAACGCUGGCGGCGUGCCUAAUACAUGCAAGUAGAACGAGGUGCGAACGGGUGAGUAACGCGUGGUAACCUGCCUCAUAGCGGGGGAUAACUACUGGAAACGGUAGCUAAUACCGCAUCCCAUCAGAUGUGCCCGGAUGGGAUUGGCUAGUAGGUGGGGUAACGGCUCACCUAGGCGACGAACCCUAGCUGGUCUGAGAGGAUGACCAGCCACACUGGAACUGAGACACGGUCCAGACUCCGACGGGAGGCAGCAGUGGGGAAUAUUGCACAAUGGGCGCAAGCCUGAUGCAGCCAUCCCGCGUGUGUGAAGAAGGCCUUCGGGUUGUAAAGCACUUUCAGCAGGGAGGCGUUACCCGCAGAAGAAGCACCGGCUAACUCCGUGCCAGCAGCCGCGGUAAUAC
This 406-nucleotide ribosomal RNA is filed under the name uncultured bacterium. RNAcentral's name for it is "partial 16S ribosomal RNA". It matches the Rfam family "Bacterial small subunit ribosomal RNA", at positions 28 to 526 of the family's 1533-position model. The record is from RNAcentral.